Molecule: non-coding RNA, 354 nt
Organism: Pelobates cultripes (western spadefoot toad)
Lineage: Eukaryota; Metazoa; Chordata; Amphibia; Anura; Pelobatidae
Source: the annotation of a GenBank genome assembly
GUGUGUGGCGUAUGUGGUUGUCGGAGCCUUGUUGGCUCUUCUGUGAUGUGGAUUUCAUUGAACAGGUCUUGUGCAGGUGGUGGGGGUAUGGGGUGGGGGCAAUUGGAGGGACUCCGUUGGGAGUGAAUCGGGGAGGGGAGAGGGUCCGGAGGGCCGUGGUCCGCCCCGGUCCCCAGUCCGCGCCCGUCAAUGUUAUACCGUACCCCAGGGGCCCCAGAUUUUCCGGGCUGAGUUGGUUGUCUCAUGGACCAGGGCAGACAACUCAUCCAUCUCUCUGGAUUCCUCUAUCUUCCUCCGUACCUCCGGCAUUGCCGGGAUAUCCGUACUUCCCCAAUGGGCUGCUAUCGUCCUUCG